GAUGAACGCUGGCGGCGUGCUUAACACAUGCAAGUCGAACGAUGAAGCCCAGCUUGCUGGGUGGAUUAGUGUCGCGCGGGUGAGUGACACGUGAGUAACCUGCCCUUGACUCUGGGGUAAGCCUGGGAAACUGGGUGUAAUACUGGAUAUGGCUUCUCAUCGCAUGGUGGGGGGUGGAGAGAUUUAUUGGUGUUGGAUGGACUCGCGGCCUAUCAGCUUGUUGGUGAGGUAAGGGCUCACAAAGGCGACGACGGGUAGCCGGCCUGAGAGGGUGACCGGCCACACUGGGACUGAGACAAGGCCCAGACUCCUACGGGAGGCAGCAGUGGGGAAUAUUGCACAAUGGGCGCAAGCCUGAUGCAGCGACGCCGCGUGAGGGAUGACGGCCUUCGGGUUGUAAACCUCUUUCAGUAGUGAAGAAGCGAGAGUGACGGUACCUGCUGAAGAAGCGCCGGCUAACUACGUG
RNAcentral lists this ribosomal RNA (466 nucleotides) under uncultured bacterium. Its description in RNAcentral is "partial 16S ribosomal RNA". It matches the Rfam family "Bacterial small subunit ribosomal RNA", at positions 28 to 507 of the family's 1533-position model. The record is from RNAcentral.